AACCUGCGGAUUUCCGCACGUCCGGGCGGGACGACCGUCCACUGGUUCCGUUCUCAUCUGUUCGGUCUCCGGCCUUCCCCCACGGGGCAUCGCCUCUGGUUGCAGGGGGGCGUCGAGUGGAGGUGCGUGUCAUAACACUCAACGCAUCGGUGCGGAUUGCACCAAGGAUCUGAUAAAUAGCUGUGCGGGCUGCGCGCCAUGCGCGCGUCGGACUCACGGCGCCAAUUAAACACGACUCUCGGCAACGGAUAUCUCGGCUCUCGCCACGAUGAAGAAUGUAGCGAAAUGCGAUACUUAGUGUGAAUUGCAGAAUCCCGUGAAUCAUCGAGUCUUUGAACGCAAGUUGCGCCCGAGGCCUCGGCCGAGGGCACGUCUGCUUGGGCGUCGCACUCUAAAAUCGACUUCCCCCGUUCCUCGGCGGGAGGAUCGGAGAUGGCUGUCCGUGCCCACCAGCGGCGCGGUCGGCUCAAAUGGGCACGAGAUUUGUGGCCGAUGUCACGAUGAGCGGUGGCCAAUGUUGGUCGGCGUUGGAUUGUGGCAUGGGGUCACGGAUUUGUGCGGAACUUUACUCGUUGUUAGUCGCGACUCUUCCGCGGGAGGGCGCGUCGCAACUUUCGCGGCCCCAGGUCAGGCGUGAGUACCCGCUGAG
Molecule: ribosomal RNA, 649 nt
Filed under: embryophyte environmental sample
Lineage: Eukaryota; Viridiplantae; Streptophyta
Description: eukaryotic LSU rRNA
Rfam family: 5.8S ribosomal RNA (bases 234-387)
Source: RNAcentral